RNAcentral lists this long non-coding RNA (751 nucleotides) under Aquilegia coerulea. RNAcentral describes it as "long non-coding RNA (ACOE_LNC002230)". Lineage: Eukaryota; Viridiplantae; Streptophyta; Magnoliopsida; Ranunculales; Ranunculaceae. The record is from RNAcentral.
GCAGAGUUUGUGCAUAACAAUUAUCGAAAACAUCAAGGAUGGAGUUGGUUGGCCUGGGAAUAUAAAGACUUAAUGAGACCUUGGUGUCUGGAUAAGGUAACUCCCCAAUUAUCUGAAAAAGUUGCAUGAUGUGAAUGAAGAUGUCUAGAUACAUGUUACUAAUUACGAUUGCGUUGAUAUUAUUAUUUUUAUUAUCAAUUUGUGUUCACAGGGAACAAUGAAACUCAAAUGCCACCGCCAAUCCCAUAUAUCUCUCUGUAUGUUUUGUUCUUCAAUUCCCUCCUUCCACGUGUUUAUAGUUAAAGUGGUACAUACUACAGACCACUUUGAAUUCAAUUGACGUAUAUUUUUUCUUUCUAACACAGGAAUAUAUGUGGGAGAAGUUCUUUUUCAGGAUUCCGAAGUCUGCAAUGAUAUUCAUCUACGAAGUUUUGUUCCAUUGUCAACUCUGAAGAUUCCUUAAUCCUUCAACUCCCUCCAUCUCCCAGGUUCGAAUUAUUAACAAGCCAAUGUUUUCAUAAGUGUCAGUCACGAUCCUGACAUUCCUUUGUCUUAAUAAUCCAUUUAAUGUAGCACAUAAUCUGGUUCUAAACAAAUCUUUCUGCCACCCUGUUGUGUGUUUGUUUUGAUUAAGAUGUAUUAUAGUAAUUGGGUCGGGUGAUCUGUGGUUGCAGGUGCCAGUGAAGAGGAGCUAAAAAAUAUUAGACAAAAUUACAACACUUCAGAUCCUGGUUUCUCCUUUUGGUAAGGU